Helianthus annuus (common sunflower) is the source of this 1279-nucleotide long non-coding RNA. RefSeq lists it as uncharacterized. The record is from RefSeq and is a predicted model, not a curated record. NCBI's taxonomy places the organism in Eukaryota, Viridiplantae, Streptophyta, Magnoliopsida, Asterales, Asteraceae. The transcript has 6 exons.
AAAUACCAGUUCUCAUUCCAUAAUUGUUCAAGUAAGCAUCUACUCGUAUAUAACAUACACCCCUCAUAACCGUAAAUCAGCGAUGGCUGCCUCCGGCGGUGCCAAAACCCUAACGUCCUCCUCUUCUUCCGCCGCAUCAGUCUCUCAGUUCUGGUCAACUCUGCCACUGCGUUCAAGCUCUCAAUUUCUUCAAGGACAAAUAAUCCGAUCAUUAUUCAGUUUUGAAAAGGAGCUCUCGAUUUUGCAGGAUCUUCAGCCCAUUCCAUUCGACUUUCAGAGAGACUUGAUAUCUCACUGAAGAGGCAGCAACUGCUAAAAUACUACCAGGUGACCCCAUUUGUAUGCUCUGGGCAAGGCAUAAGGGUGCAUUACAGGCCUAUCUUCAUUGGCAUGUAUAAUCUCCCCAUUGAUUUUCAGUCCUUUCUAACAGCUUUAUUCUCGUCUGAUCAAUUUCCCAAAUAUAUAACAGAUAACAGAUAGGGGAGGGAUCUCUUUAGAACCGCCAAGACUUGCUGUAUCGGGUGAGUCGAGAUAGAAACAGAGAUCUCAUAAUCACUGGUAUGUCUUUCUUUCUAGUUUCAUUUCUAGCUAUAUCAAGAAUCUCCAUGAGUUCAGAUAGGAUAUUUUUAUAUUCUUUGCGCUUUCGAAUAAGCGGUUUUAAUUAUUUUAGAAAGUAUCUUUUGUGUUUAAUUGUGUUUUGGAAAGUGAAAUUAGGAUUACUGAUCUGAUUUUAGUUUUAGGUUUUACAGAAAUUUGUUUCAGCUGGUGCAGUCAAACCAUUAGACACAACGUUGGUUGUGAUUAAUUAAUGUGAGAUGUGUGACCAUACUUAAUCUUGUAUGGUUAGCUGUUGUAAAGGAACUAAAAGGCUGGUUAGCCGUUGUAAAGACUACCCCAAGGGGAGUUUAUGAACUUGACCAAGAUGUUAGUGAAAUAGAGGAUGAUGAUGUAGAUAUGGAGCCUUUCUUUCAAGAGAAUGAAAGAAUAGAAUGCACGGUAAUGGAUGAUCUUCUCCCUAUUUCUAUUUUAAUCAUGUUUUGCUAUUUAAGUGUAGUUGAGGGACUGCACAAGCUCUUCAAUUGCCAGAUGUUGCACUCAAACAAAAGAAAAUUCUGUUAAUGUGGACUUCCACCAGAAAGAGAAGAGGAUUAAAGGGCAGUUUAUUCUACAUAUGUGGAGGUUUAGGCUGUGUUUAUGAGUACAUUAUUGACUAAAUGUGACAGGAUAAUUAGUAUCUUUAUGGUAUUUGAUGUUUCGAGUGGGAUGUUUUAUAUAAUUG